CGUAGGCGAUGGACAACAGGUAGAGAUUCCUGUACCAGUGCUAAUUGUUUAACCGAUGGGGUGACACAGAAGGAUAGGGAAUCGCACGAAUGGAAAUGUGCGUCCAAGCAGUGAGUGUGAGAAGUAGGCAAAUCCGCUUCUCACGAAGCAUGAGCUGUGAUGGGGAAGGAAAUUAAGUACGGAAGUUCCUGAUUUCACGCUGUCAAGAAAAGCCUCUAGGAAGAGUAGUACUGCCCGUACCGCAAACCGACACAGGUAGAUGAGGAGAGAAUCCUAAGGUGAGCG
RNAcentral lists this ribosomal RNA (285 nucleotides) under Listeria monocytogenes. RNAcentral's name for it is "partial 23S ribosomal RNA". It matches the Rfam family "Bacterial large subunit ribosomal RNA", at positions 1410 to 1692 of the family's 2925-position model. Lineage: Bacteria; Bacillati; Bacillota; Bacilli; Caryophanales; Listeriaceae. The record is from RNAcentral.